Molecule: ribosomal RNA, 1393 nt
Filed under: human gut metagenome
Description: bacterial LSU rRNA
Rfam family: Bacterial large subunit ribosomal RNA
Source: RNAcentral
CCAAUCGAACCCGGAGAUAGCUGGUUCUCCUCGAAAUAGCUUUAGGGCUAGCCUCAUACAAGUCUUGCGGAGGUAGAGCACUGAAUUUCCUAGGGGGCGUCAAAGCUUACCGAAGAAUAUCAAACUCCGAAUGCCGUGUAGAUGUUGUAUGGGAGUCAGACUGUACGAGAUAAGUUGGACAGUCAAAAGGGAAAGAGCCCAGACCUGCAGCUAAGGCCCCAAAAUGUGUGUUAAGUGGAAAAGGAUGUGGGAUUUCAAAGACAACUAGGAUGUUGGCUUAGAAGCAGCCAUACAUUCAAAGAGUGCGUAAUAGCUCACUAGUCGAGAGGUCCUGCGCCGAAAAUGUCCGGGGCUGAAACACACUACCGAAGCUCAGGAAUUAACGUAGUUAAUUGGUAGAGGAGCAUUCUUAAAGGGAAGAAGCAGUACCGGAAGGAGCUGUGGACUUUUAAGAAGAGAGAAUGCCGGAAUGAGUAGCGAGAGGAAGGUGAGAAUCCUUCCGGCCGAAUAUCUAAGGUUUCCAGAGUAAAGCUGAUCUGCUCUGGGUAAGUCGGGGCCUAAGGCCAGGUCGAAAGACGUAACCGAUGGACAACAGGUUGAAAUUCCUGUACCUUAAGUAAACAGAACUGUGGGGACACGUGUGGAGAGCACAAGCCGGAAAUGGAAAAGCCGGUGCAAGCGGGGUAGGAGUACAGUAGGCAAAUCCGUUGUACAAUCCGAAGACGUGAUGCGGACCGAAUUAAGAGUAGGGAAGUGUGUGAGCCAUGCGUCAAGAAAAGCCGCUAUUGUUUUACUUAAGCCCGUACCGUAAACCGACACAGGUGGAUGAGGAGAGAAUCCUAAGGCCGACGGGAGAAGCAUUGUUAAGGAACUCGGCAAAAUGACUCCGUAACUUCGGGAGAAGGAGUGCCAGCGAGAGCUGGCCGCAGAGAAUUGGCCCAAGCAACUGUUUAGCAAAAACACAGGUCUAUGCAAAACCGUAAGGUGAAGUAUAUGGGCUGACGCCUGCCCGGUGCUGGAAGGUUAAGAGGAGAGGUUAGCGGUAACGCGAAGCUUUGAAUUUAAGCCCCAGUAAACGGCGGCCGUAACUAUAACGGUCCUAAGGUAGCGAAAUUCCUUGUCGGGUAAGUUCCGACCCGCACGAAAGGCGUAAUGAUUUGGGCACUGUCUCAACAAUGCACCCGGUGAAAUUGAAAUACCAGUGAAGAUGCUGGUUACCUGCGCCAGGACGGAAAGACCCCAUGGAGCUUUACUCCAGCUUGAUACUGGGAUUCGGUAUUGCAUGUACAGGAUAGGUGGGAGGCUGUGAAAUGGUAACGCCAGUUGCCAUGGAGCCGCUGUUGGGAUACCACCCUUGCAGUACUGGGUUUCUAACCAGCAGCCGUGACCCGGC